Pelobates cultripes (western spadefoot toad) is the source of this 688-nucleotide non-coding RNA. Lineage: Eukaryota; Metazoa; Chordata; Amphibia; Anura; Pelobatidae. The record is from the annotation of a GenBank genome assembly.
CCUGACCUCUGGCAUCCUUUGGCUUUGGCUAUUCCUUGACUAUCCUGCUGUUUGUGUCCUUGUCGGGACUGCAUUGGAAUCACCUUUCCUGCACAGCCCCAGUGCACAGAUUCACAGUCCAUGUGGCUUAUCUGAUUACCUUGGACUGUGUCUAGCUGCAAGGGUGAGCAAACAGAUCUGCACUACAGACUCCCGUCUCGGGUAAGAACCCUGACACACACCUCGCAUGUCAAGAGGUGUGUGUCAGGAUCUAGCCUUUCUACCCCAAACAGAACCGGACCUCUGGCUUAUCGAAACCAACCCUACAGAUCACCUGAGCAAGUCACAGAGACUAGAUCCUCCUAAUUUGAAAGUUCACUGUGUCUCUUGGUUAUGGCCGGCGAUACUACAGUUGCACCAGGAACUUGAGUUAGUUUGCUAAUGAAAAAAAUUAAAAAUUUUUUGCUAUGAUUUGACUACUCCUUUGACACUGUUAAUCCAGGAUUUCUCAAUGCCCCACCACACCUUAGCAUUUGAAACAGUACAAUUUAUUUGCACUUUUCUGUAUAACAUGCAACACACCUUGCUGACAGUCUGUGAUGUUAACUAUACUGCAUAAUUAUUUCAGACAAAAGCUUUAACUGUCAUAGGUUCUAAUCAUGUUGAACUAAAAAAGUAGCCUUGUAAGCUAUGUUCACUGUAAACUUUG